AUAGAUCCUAAAAUUAACAUGGACAUGCAAAACAACUAAAAUAACUAGAACAAUUUUUGAAAAGGAAGAGCAAAGAGUUGGUGAACUUUCACUUCUCUAUUUCAAAACUUAAUGUAGCUUCAUAGUAAGCAAGACAAUAUGCUACUACCAUAAAGUCAGACACAGAGCUUGGUGGAACAGAACAGAGAUUCCAGGAAUUAAUCCUUAUACUCAACUGAAUUUGGACAAAGGUACAAGGCAAUUGAUUGGAGAAUUGUUCAAAAACAGUUCAACAACUCAUGGAGAUACAGUUAGAAGCUCACAAGUGAAAAAAAAAUGGUUAGAUCCUCAUCGUACACAAAAAUUUGCUCAAGUAUAUCAUAGGUUUAACAUGAAAGCUAAAACAAAAAUUUUACAAGAAAACAGGAGAAAAUCAAGACAUUGAGUUAGGCAAGAUUUCUUAGAUAUGAUACCAAAGCAUGGCCCAUAAAAGAAAAACAUUUCUAUACUUCAUUAAAAUAAGAAAAACUUUUGAAGUUCAAAACAAACCACUCUU
This 535-nucleotide long non-coding RNA is filed under the name Marmota monax (woodchuck). Lineage: Eukaryota; Metazoa; Chordata; Mammalia; Rodentia; Sciuridae. The record is from RNAcentral.